RNAcentral lists this ribosomal RNA (116 nucleotides) under Bacillus haynesii. The record is from RNAcentral. Lineage: Bacteria; Bacillati; Bacillota; Bacilli; Caryophanales; Bacillaceae.
UUUGGUGGCGAUAGCGAAGAGGUCACACCCGUUCCCAUGCCGAACACGGAAGUUAAGCUCUUCAGCGCCGAUGGUAGUUGGGGGCUUCCCCCUGUGAGAGUAGGACGUCGCCAAGC